UGGGGAAUCUUGCGCAAUGGGCGAAAGCCUGACGCAGCCAUGCCGCGUGAAUGAUGAAGGUCUUAGGAUUGUAAAAAUUCUUUCACCGGGGACGAUAAUGACGGUACCCGGAGAAGAAGCCCCGGCUAACUUCGUGCCAGCAGCCGCGGUAAUACGAAGGGGGCUAGCGUUGCUCGGAAUUACUGGGCGUAAAGGGAGCGUAGGCGGACUGUUAAGUUAGAGGUGAAAGCCCAGGGCUCAACCUUGGAAUUGCCUUUGAUACUGGCAGUCUUGAGUACGGAAGGAGGUAUGUGGAACUCCGAGUGUAGAGGUGAAAUUCGUAGAUAUUCGGAAGAACACCAGUGGCGAAGGCGACAUACUGGUCCGUUACUGACGCUGAGGCUCGAAAGGCGUGGGGAGCAAACAGGAUUAGAUACCCUGGUAGUCCACGCCGUAAACGAUGAGUGCUAGUUGUCGGCAUGCAUGCAUGUCGGUGACGCAGCUAACGCAUUAAGCACUCCGCCUGGGGCAGUACGGUCGCAAGAUUAAAACUCAAAUGAAUUGACGGGGG
RNAcentral lists this ribosomal RNA (550 nucleotides) under uncultured bacterium. RNAcentral's name for it is "partial 16S ribosomal RNA". It matches the Rfam family "Bacterial small subunit ribosomal RNA", at positions 355 to 919 of the family's 1533-position model. The record is from RNAcentral.